AUUGAACGCUGGCGGCAUGCUUUACACAUGCAAGUCGAACGGUAACAGGCCGCCAGGUGCUGACGAGUGGUGAACGGGUGAGUAAUGCAUCGGAACGUGCCCAGUCGUGGGGGAUAACUACUCGAAAGAGUAGCUAAUACCGCAUACGAUCUAUGGAUGAAAGCGGGGGACCGUAAGGCCUCGCGCGAUUGGAGCGGCCGAUGUCAGAUUAGGUAGUUGGUGGGGUAAAGGCUCACCAAGCCAACGAUCUGUAGCUGGUCUGAGAGGACGACCAGCCACACUGGGACUGAGACACGGCCCAGACUCCUACGGGAGGCAGCAGUGGGGAAUUUUGGACAAUGGGCGCAAGCCUGAUCCAGCAAUGCCGCGUGCAGGAAGAAGGCCUUCGGGUUGUAAACUGCUUUUGUACGGAACGAAACGGCUCUGGUUAAUACCCGGGGCUAAUGACGGUACCGUAAGAAUAAGCACCGGCUAACUACGU
RNAcentral lists this ribosomal RNA (481 nucleotides) under uncultured bacterium. Its description in RNAcentral is "partial 16S ribosomal RNA". It matches the Rfam family "Bacterial small subunit ribosomal RNA", at positions 30 to 506 of the family's 1533-position model. The record is from RNAcentral.